This 556-nucleotide ribosomal RNA is filed under the name uncultured bacterium. RNAcentral describes it as "SSU rRNA". It matches the Rfam family "Bacterial small subunit ribosomal RNA", at positions 329 to 877 of the family's 1533-position model. The record is from RNAcentral.
GGUCAGGUCCCUACGGGUCGCAGCAGUGGGGAAUAUUGCACAAUGGGCGCAAGCCUGAUGCAGCCAUGCCGCGUGUAUGAAGAAGGCCUUCGGGUUGUAAAGUACUUUCAGCGGGGAGGAAGGGAGUAAAGUUAAUACCUUUGCUCAUUGACGUUACCCGCAGAAGAAGCACCGGCUAACUCCGUGCCAGCAGCCGCGGUAAUACGGAGGGUGCAAGCGUUAAUCGGAAUUACUGGGCGUAAAGCGCACGCAGGCGGUUUGUUAAGUCAGAUGUGAAAUCCCCGGGCUCAACCUGGGAACUGCAUCUGAUACUGGCAAGCUUGAGUCUCGUAGAGGGGGGUAGAAUUCCAGGUGUAGCGGUGAAAUGCGUAGAGAUCUGGAGGAAUACCGGUGGCGAAGGCGGCCCCCUGGACGAAGACUGACGCUCAGGUGCGAAAGCGUGGGGAGCAAACAGGAUUAGAUACCCGGGUAGUCCACGCCCUAAACGAUGUCGACUUGGAGGUUGUGCCCUUGAGGCGUGGCUUCCGGAGCUCACGCGCUAAGUCGACCGACUGUC